GUUCAAUAAAAAGUUUUCAAAGAAACAAAAAUGUGCCCGAUUUUAAAAGAUCUUACACAUCUCUUUGAAAUAAACUUCAAAAUUCAAAAUAUAUCAAGAAAUUAGGAAAACUAAAUAAAACCCAACCAUUUACCAUAAUUUCAACAAAAUAUUGCAGCUUUGCAUUUCUUUCCAUAUUUCAUGUCAUGACAAAAUUAUUGCAACUACAACAACAACAGAUGAAUCGAUUAACCCAAAUGUCCGAACGUGCACGAUUAUUAUUUCUCAUUUGUAUGGCAAAACGGAGGUGAGCUGAAAGAGUACAACAAAUUAUAUGAAUGUGGGUGAACGUAUUUAAAAUGCGGGUACAUGAAAGGAUAAUUAUGUUUCGAAACUUUUUAUACAUAUGUAUAUGAAUAGAUAUAUGUAUAUUUGAGAGAUUUUUAGUAAUACUUAGCCUAAAAGUACACCAAAAUUCGACCGAUAGACACCAAUACAAAUAUAUUUGAUACGCACAUGGAUGCUUGGGCGCUGGCUUCGGUUGGAGCGUGAUUGUGAAUGAAUGAGUGGCAUAUCACGUGUCACACGAGCAGGCGUGCGUAUGUACGCAUCUGUGCGUGUCUAUGUGUGUGUGUGUGAAAUCAAAGCUUUUUGCGUGCGUUUGGGACACUGGCAUGGGACUGAAUCAAUUUGGCUUAUCGCUUUAAUGCGAAACGAGGCGACAGCACACCGAAUGUGUGGCACAAAAGAAAAUGUACGCAACAACAAAAACAACAACAGUUGCAACAAUGACAACCACUACAACAAGCAGAGCAAAGUUUUGUGCCAAAAAUUAGGCAAACGCACAAAAUGCAAAAUGAAGCAACGUACGCACACACGCCAGGGGUGUGUUUGAAAAGGGGUGCUGAAGAAACAUUGAAAGAGCAUCAAAAGGCAAGGGACAUAUGUACAUUGAAAUGAAGCUGCACAAAGCCAUACAAAAGUUCAUCAAUACCACCGCAUAUACACACAGGCAUAUAGGCACCAAUACUCAUGCAAAGGUUCGCGUGUCACAUAUAGUGACUUUCAAAUUAGCUUAAAGUGCGUGUUGUUGCAAGGUAUCUUCUUUGUGCGCACUCUGUGAUUUGCCCAGAACUGUCCGGCAGGAAUUAGCAACCGCAAAGGAAAGACAACAGGAGCGUGAGUAAUCAUGAAACCUAAAAUCCUGCUGCCUAAGCUUGUGGCAUUUAAAAUUUGACAAAGGCAUUGCAAAGCUGACAUUUCUAAACUUUAGAUUUUAUAAGUCAACUCUUCUAGAAUCUAUUUAUAUACCUCUCUAUGGUAUCCGCGGAAAGGAAGGAUUUGGGUCAAAUAAGCAUUAAGCUUAUUUCACGGAUGAAUCAAAGUUAAGUGGGAGAGUACAUGGUGGAUUCUUCUGUCGUGAACUCUCCAUCAACUCUAGUUUCAAACCACCAGACCGGUACAGUGGUCAAGCGACCGUAAAAGGUCAUGCAAACUACUAGCUUUUAGCAAAGUCCAUCUCACCGCAAUUAUAGGUAUUUUUACUGGACACUGUUCAAUAGGUUUACACGCAGUGCGGCUUAAAAUUCUGUCGAACGCUUUUUGCCAAAGCUAUAUAGAGGAAGGCGAGGUGGAAUCAUCUGGUCACUUCCAUCUCUAUUGCCCAGCUUUUGCCAAACUGAGAUUGAAAUAUCUCGGUAGACACACCUUUGGCGAAUCUAGCGAAGUUGUUGUCGGAAUUUCAUAAAACCACUUUCAUAGAAUCCCUCGUCUUUAUUGACAAAACUAACUGGGAUCAUCAAUUUUCAAAAGCUUCUCUGUAGGCAAAUUUUUACAAGCAAAAUCAUUCGCAAUAGACAGGUACAGUUACUAAUUAAUUGGUGUCAAGUACGUACUAAAAACUGAAUGCAUAAAAACCUCUCAACAAAUCUCUCGGAGCUUCUGGCGACUGAAUAGCGAUGUGUGUGACCUGGCGUUGACCUGGUGGAACAAAAUUAGUUACUCUCCAUUAGCCAAAGUUGAUCUAUUCUCUUUACUAGUAAAGCAUCGAUCAAACAUAUUAUAUUGAAGAGUAGGAGUCAGUUCCACAAAAAAAUGUUUAUGGAAUAAAAAUUCCACGUCGGUUUAAAAACAACUAGAGUAUAUCUAGUUAUUCUUCAAGGGAAAGUGUUUCACAAGUUCAGAAAACCUAUUUCAUUGUUUUAUAUAGAUGUUUUCGCAGUAGAUUUAAAGGAAGAUAUAGUAUAUUGGAUAAAAGCUACUUUUGAUAGCAAUUCCAGCUAUUAAUGCAAGACAGGAUCCCGGAAAGAAAGUGAAUAAAUUACAAAAAAACAAAAAAAAAAACACAGUUUUGAAUGCUUCCAGCAAUUCCAUUUACUUAAUACAAUAACAACAAUAACAAAAGAUGAGAUUAGUUGCUAUACGCUUUCGUAGUAAUCACUUACACCGCUUUUCCUAUUCAAAGUCGCAUGCUGCCAGAAAGCAACAACAAAAGAAGCUGCAGCAAAUGCUUCAGUCUUGCCACAAAAGCAACACAGUAAGCAUUCUAAGUUGGCUUUAAUAUAAAUUGUCUCCACCCGCACUUUGACUUAGCCCCGUAUCAGCUCUAUGGAAUAGAACCCAGCUACCAUCUUUAACGCUUUGAUAUAUGUAAGUGUGUGGGUAUGUGAGCUGUCAGUGUCGCUUUGACACUGAUGUACAUAGCACGCCAUAGACGCUGUGACACAUUUACAGCCUCAACAACAUUACUCUACUAUUGUUGUUGUACGCUCGAUUUCAUUUUUGUAAUUUGGUGUCAAAUAUGUACCAUGUACUGUUGCUGCCACAAGCAGUGCCUUGCUGUUGUAAGACUACCACUAGCAACUAGUAUGUGUGUUGUAAUUGUUGUAGCUGUCCGUCAGUUUGUUUGCUUUGGAUGCUCUUAGCCAUCGUACGCUCGUGUCUCGGUUUUUCUCGGUUUGACACAAAGACGUGCCUCUGAAUUUUUUAUUAAAUAUUAGUGCAAUGACAAUGACGUUGACUUUCGUCUUUUGCGCAUUUCCCUACGACUUUUGAACUAACACAAACCCAUGCAAAUACAGUUGAAUAUUUGUUUGUACAAUAUAUAUGCUUAACAUUAGUGUUGUUAUGCUUAUUGACAUUUUUUGCGCUGUUGUUGUCGCCAUUAUUGUCAUUGUUACCCGCUGCCUUUGUGUAGUUGGUGUCAGUCUAAUAUAAUUAAAUUAAAUAUUUAUUUUUGCUUUCCAUUCUUUGUCACAUAUUUUGAGCACACAAUGUUUAUGGCGCGUUUAUUUAUUUAUUUUUUUGUUUGUUUUUAUUGUUUUUUUUUUUUUUUACUAGAAUUUUUAAUGUGCUAUUUCGAGCUUUGCUGUAGGCAAUUUAACGUUCCAAAUUACAUUUAAAUGGCUGUCGUAUUGUUAAAAUAUUAUAAUUUCUUUGCAAAACAUAUAUAUUUACGGUGAGAUGUUUUUACGUAAAGAAAUUGCUAACGGCCACUUAGUAUUUCUAUAAAAAUAAACGCGAUAAGUAUAGAGUUUGAGGAGUCAGACAAAAAAUUCUUGGUUUGGCCAAAACCAUUUUCUUAAGCAAAACACAAAAAAAACUUUAACCGAAGUUAUAAUAUACAUAACAAGUACAUUUUUUUAUAGCGGGUACAUUUAUUAUAGGAGGGUAUAGAAAUCUUUAACCUCGAUUUUGAUCGGUCAGUUUAUAUUGCAGCUAUCCACUCAAGUUGUACGAUCUAAACAAUUUCGAUGAAGAUUGUAGCCUCAGAUAAUAAGCUAUGCCAAAUUUCGUGGCGAUACCUUGUCAAAUAAAAAAGUUUUCGAUACAAGGAAUUGAGUGCGAUCGGCCAGUUUCUACGGCAGCUAUAUAUUAUAUGUAUAUGUGCUUUUGGUCCGAAAUCGGCGAUUUCCACAAAUGAGUAGCUUCUUGGGGGGAAAAGGAUGUAUGCAAAAUUUCUUAGCGAUAUCUCGCGCUGAUUAUUAUUAUAUAGGAAAUAUCGGAUUAUUUCUGGCUGUUAACACUUCGUGAUAAACUUAAUAUACCCUGUUCAAGCUAUAAAAAAUUAGGCUUGCUGUGUUUGUCGGCGUAAGCUUACAAGAUCUUGAUGGUUACUGUUCAAAACAAGAUACGUCACUGUAAUUUUAAUAAUAUAAGUUUCGGCAAUACAAAUUUUUCGACCUUUAAAAUACAUAAUUUUUCUAUCACUAGAUCUGAAAUAUAAUCGCACACCCCACUUUUCACUGUCAAGGUUAAGCCAUAUAGUAAAAAAAAAUUAUUUGAUUCGGUAUUUAUUUCCUUUCUUUAAAUUUAUUUUAUUCAGCAGCUUUACAGGUUAUGAAAAAAUAUAUAUAAGCAUAUAACUACCUUGUGGGAAAAAAUUUUAGCCGGCAAGAGUUACUUAUUGUUCACAAAUUGUUAACAGCACAUGAAAAAUUUUAUUGUUUAUAAAUGAAUACAAAAUAUUUUUUUUUUUAAUUUUGAUGAAAUUAAAAUAUUUUUAUAAAAAACUCCGUUUUUCUUUUACACACAUACAUUCAUACACAUUUGUACAUAAAAAGAAACAUUUUGGAAAGCAGCGGUUUUAUUCAUGGUUGCCUUUUCACUCAAAUUCAGUGGCGCUAAAACUAUACAAACAGGCAUUGUGCCAUUAUUAUAUGUAUGUCACCCAAAAACAAAACUAGCUACUCCAUACUCUCAAUGCUAACUAAAUAUGCUGUUAUAUAAAUUACCAUGCACAUACAUAUGCAGAUUUGUAUGUACCUGUAUGUUUGUCGAUAUUGUUUAAUAGCUUAAUUAUACAAGAAAACAUGCACGAAAUUGACUUACCAAGUAAAAUAUUAUACAAUUAUAUUAAUUAAACACUCCUACCACCCGUCCUUUCCACAAAUCGCUACACUCACGCACUUACAUACUUUUUCACUUUACCGAAUCACUACACGUAAGCUAGUUUCGUCCCGAAUUACUUACACGCGAAGAAAAACGCUUUUUA
Long non-coding RNA from Bactrocera oleae (olive fruit fly), 4972 nucleotides. RefSeq lists it as uncharacterized. The record is from RefSeq and is a predicted model, not a curated record. NCBI's taxonomy places the organism in Eukaryota, Metazoa, Arthropoda, Insecta, Diptera, Tephritidae.